Molecule: ribosomal RNA, 492 nt
Filed under: uncultured bacterium
Lineage: Bacteria
Description: partial 16S ribosomal RNA
Rfam family: Bacterial small subunit ribosomal RNA
Source: RNAcentral
AGUGAACGCUGGCGGUAGGCCUAACACAUGCAAGUCGAACGGCAGCACAGUAAGAGCUUGCUCUUACGGGUGGCGAGUGGCGGACGGGUGAGGAAUACAUCGGAAUCUACUUUUUCGUGGGGGAUAACGUAGGUAAACUUACGCUAAUACCGCAUACGACCUACGGGUGAAAGCAGGGGAUCUUCGGACCUUGCGCGAUUGAAUGAGCCGAUGUCGGAUUAGCUAGUUGGCGGGGUAAAGGCCCACCAAGGCGACGAUCCGUAGCUGGUCUGAGAGGAUGAUCAGCCACACUGGAACUGAGACACGGUCCAGACUCCUACGGGAGGCAGCAGUGGGGAAUAUUGGACAAUGGGCGCAAGCCUGAUCCAGCCAGACUGCGUGGGUGAAGAAGGCCUUCGGGUUGUAAAGCCCUUUUGUUGGGAAAGAAAAGCAGCAGGUUAAUACCCCGCUGUUCUGACGGUACCCAAAGAAUAAGCACCGGCUAACUUCGUG